Drosophila persimilis is the source of this 630-nucleotide long non-coding RNA. RefSeq lists it as uncharacterized. The record is from RefSeq and is a predicted model, not a curated record. NCBI's taxonomy places the organism in Eukaryota, Metazoa, Arthropoda, Insecta, Diptera, Drosophilidae. The transcript is spliced from 2 exons.
UUUAGUUAGUCAAAAUUUAAGUAGAGAUGAAAUUCUCAGACGGCGCGUCAUAAUUCGUCUUCUCUUUGUCGGACACAAGUUCAUGCGAGCCUCAUUCUACGGAACGAGGCAUUCUCCAGUUCCACUCUUGUUGGUGUUUGGGCGUUGGCCCCCCUCCGCGCGGCCAUAUCCCCUAGGCUAAACUUGAAGGUGGCAGGAAGGCUGAAGAUUGCAAUGGAUGAAGGGGAGAAUGCAAUUCCACAGAACUGUGGGCCUUUCAGCUUGCUGAAAAGCACGGUGAGCGUGAAAAUGCAUGAGAACGGGAUGAUGUUUCGUGCGUUGGCCGACCGGCAGAGUUACGCAAUAGAUGACCGGUAACCUCACGGGCAGAUUUGACCUCUAAUUCGGUGGGACCGGUCAUCACAUUGUGCUUCUGCAUCUCGCGAAUGUCCCCGGCGGCCGAUCUCGCUCUUUCGGCGAGAACAGAUCAAAGAACUGUUCCUGAUACAGUUCCAAAGGAGCAGGUCACAUUGAACUUGUAUUCCUCGUUCAGUUCGGCACUGACAUCGAGCUGUUGGUGGAUUCGCAGUGAAGAAAUUUACAAAUGUACAAUUUACAAAACUAAUAAAGAGCACACUAUUAACUACGGAA